Molecule: ribosomal RNA, 611 nt
Filed under: Helix pomatia (Roman snail)
Lineage: Eukaryota; Metazoa; Mollusca; Gastropoda; Stylommatophora; Helicidae
Description: partial 16S ribosomal RNA
Rfam family: Archaeal large subunit ribosomal RNA
Source: RNAcentral
GAUAUUAUCCCCUUGUAGUGUAGUUUAAUAGCUAUCUACAUAAUAACUUAAUAUAAAGUAUAAUAGUUUAUAUUUUAUAAUAUGACGUUAACAAUUUUGUUUAAUAUUUGAAAAUGUUAGUAUUAGUAAUAUUAGUAUAUGUGCUAAAGGAACUCGGCAAAAAACCACUCAACUGUUUAUCAAAAACAUAGCUAUAUGAAUUAAUAUAUAGUUAUUUCUGCUCAAUGAUUUAAAUAGCCGCAGUACUCUGACUGUGCAAAGGUAGCAUAAUCAGUUGGCUUUUAAUUAGAGUCUGGUAUGAACGAAAAUAUGGGUAGUAACUGUCUUAGCACAUUUUUUCGAACUUAUUAAACAAGUGCAAAUGCUUGUAAUUUAACAAUAGACGAGAAGACCCUAGAAACUUGGACAAGUUUUUGUUGGGGCGACAGAAUUACACUUAACUAAUCUUAUAAUACACGACGCGAUGUUGAAAGAAUAAGUUACUCUAGGGAUAACAGCAUAAUUUCAUUAGUUUGUGACCUCGAUGUUGGACUAGGUACUAUACCCUUAAGGCAAGGAUAUAUUAUGCUCUGUUCGAGCAAAAUUACCUACAUGAUCUGAGUUCAGACCGG